CAAGUUCCAGGUUCAGUUCAUUAAUGGAUUUCAAUGGUUUCCCAAAUUAUUGACACUAAUUUAUUUGCUAUUUCCUCUCAAGGGGGAAUUAUCAGACAAUAGCUUUGAAGUUGAUGAACCGGACAGUCCAAACAAAAUUUUUCAAGCUGUACAAUUGAUGGACAAAGAAGUCACUGGAGCAGUUUUACCCCAAUUGCCUAUAGCGGUAAACAACAUUAAUAUUCUCAAGAGGUGGUUAAAAUGUCGCGGAUUGCCAGUCAAUGGAAAUAAAGAAGACUUGGUUGAAAGGUACUUGCAGUACACUUUCUAUUAUUUCAUAGUUUUGAUUUAAUUUUGAUGACAUGGCACUAUACUGUUCUUUUGUAGGGUGGCCCUUUGGAUGUCAAAGGGAAACUACCACAUCCUAAACCCUGGCGUUGACAAGGGGAUUUGGUAUGAUAAAAAAGUAGCUGAUCUCCAAAAGAAAAAUAAAUGCAAUGUAAUACUUAUUCCUACUUUUGUGUGAGAUGACAUCACACUGUGCUGCAUAUUAUUUUCUAAUAGUAUAUUUAUCUCUUUUUCAGAAUGACUUAAGUCAAGCUAUCAGUCAGGAAGAGUUGCAACAUGGAAUGAGAGGUAUACACACAGCAAGUCCAAGACCGAUGCUAUCUGUGCUGUGUUGGCUGAAAGUGGUGAGAGGGAUUAUGCCUCUAGAAAUAGCAUCUUGGAUACGUUACUAAAGCUCUGGAGUGCUGGCAAAGAGGUUGCAGUACUUGAAGUUGUAUCAUCUGGUCUCAACCUUGGUGCAAGUGAAGCCCUUUCAAUGAGAAACGAACAACGUGAACUGUCUGUUUCUGUAAAUGCUCCACCUGAACCUGAAAACUCUGCACAGGGUCACCUCGGUGCAGAUGAGUCUCUUACUGUGGAUGCUCCACCAUCUGAACUUGAAAACUCGGCACAGGGUAC
Long non-coding RNA from Frankliniella occidentalis (western flower thrips), 945 nucleotides. RefSeq lists it as uncharacterized. The transcript is spliced from 3 exons. The record is from RefSeq and is a predicted model, not a curated record. Lineage: Eukaryota; Metazoa; Arthropoda; Insecta; Thysanoptera; Thripidae.